UCAAUUAUUUAAUCAUUCAAUUGGAUCCAAUGAUCAUCCAACAAAAAAUUAAAACAAUAAGUUGGAUCUUCAAAGCUGAACACAAUUAUUCAUCAUCAUUUCUAGAAAACUCCUCAAAGAAAAAGUUUGCACAACUUUCUCCAAACUCCCUUUCAUUGCUCCACCAUCUUCAACUUUUUUGCAGUCAUUGAUCAACUAAAAAAAUAAUAAGUAUUGUAAUCAAUAUAAUAUAAUCAAGUAACUUGAAUCCAUGAGUAUCAAUGAUAUAUUAAUAAAGGCGUAAGACCUUAACACACAGUAAACAACUCCAAAACAAAAAUCAAUUUCUCCUAAUCACAUAAGGCAAUUCCCCCUCCUUCCCUGCUAUCUAACACAUGAUUACAAACAUAACAGNNNNNNNNNNNNNNNNNNNNNNNNNNNNNNNNNNNNNNNACAAAACACCUUAAUUACUAUAGCACCAAAACAUGUGUACUACUAACACAGAUCAGAAAAAUAUUCCUAUAGAUCUCCAUGAAUCACAAAGCAUCACAGCUAACAACUCGGAAUCUCAGCCCGUGACACAAAAUCAUUCCAUUAGAGAUCUAACAACAUAAUAACAAGUAGAAAAACUGAGGUGAUAGAUGCCAAAAUAUGCAAGUCUACAAUACUUGAUGCUAUAAAACUCAAAAUUGUGAAAUUGUAGUUAGUUAACCUUCAUCGAAAGCUGAGAAUACCCGAUUUAUUCGCCAUCUUGAUGCUCUACUAAUCCAAGCAUGUCCCUAUAAAUAAAGUUCGUAACACAGUAUGGUUAGAAUACAUGAACCAAUAAAUCCAUACAUCAUACUAGUUGGACUCAAAAAGUCAUGCCCAAGCUUUUAAUUUUAUUUUUUUAUAAUUAUAAAAAUUCUUUCAUAGAACUAUUUACAUAAAACACAUUUUGAAGGUUUAACUCAUUCAAUUUUAAAAAUCUAUUAAUAGUAUUUUCUCAUGCAAGCCUAUAUCUACUUGGUGAAUAACAUGAAAACACAACUACUCAAUGUAUUGAACAUACUUAAUUAAGCUAACUUUAUGUCCUGCUACAUAAAUCUGUAGAACAAAAGGCAGUACUCAAUUAGUUGUGCAUAUAUAAAUAUGCAGAACAGACGGUACAUUAAAAUAGUCCACAACACACAUGUAAAUUUUACGAAGUUUUCAGCUAUAUAUGGAAGUCGCAAUUCAAGCAGAGCUAGUGUUCAGGGAACUAAUCAUAUAUUUAUCACGCUUCUAUUAACUCCACGUCCAAUGGCCAAUACUAAGAGGAUAUUAUACUAACUAAGUUGUAUUUUUGGAUGAGGAAGGAUGCACUAACAUAAGGGUAAACAAAAAGUGGAUGAGUUGGAGGCAAUACAUCAUUUGCAAUGUCCUGCAAAACAAAUCAACACAUUCAUCCGUCAGAACAAUACCGAGAAACACCCCAACAACAGACCACUGCAAAAAUAUUUCAAUUACAAAUUCACAUAUAGACUUCAUAUCAUAUAUUUCAAUUCAAUAUCUAUUUUCUAAUACAAAAGUAUCAUAUAAAAGUAUGAUUGGUUUCACUAUCUAAAUAUUGGAUCGGGAUGAAAACCUUUAUAUCUUCUAUCAUGCCCUCAAAAUCCAACCCAAUUGUUUUGGGGUCAUAGUAUCGGUCUCGGACCAGUUACUGAAAGACCUUGGACAGUGGCAACCUGGGUGAAAAAUAAAAAAGAAAAAUAUUGAUUUCUUUCUUGUUUGUUUCUAUGAUCUAACAGCAAAUAAAAGUCACAUCCUUCAAAGCAAUUAUAUCUGCUAAAUCCACUACAUACUCUGCUGUUUGAUUGCUAUGGUGGAUUGUCUGCUCGUGUAACAACUCUGCAGUUGCCUUAUUAAAUGCAGCCAAACCUUCAUUUGGGAGAUACUGCAUUUCCAAGUUAAAACCAUAGUUAGUAAUCUAAAGCCAACAGUUUAAUGAUACAAAUAAUCGCAUAUGACCUAAAGAAAUUUACCUCUUUGUUUUCGCCUCUCUUCAGCAUAAGAUUCUCUGCCUAAAAACAAGAACUUCAUCAAAAUCAAUAUUGGCUCAACUGAAAAAAUACUCUCAUGUUUCUGAACAAGUAAAAUAAGAAAUCAAUACAUGACGUAUGAAAUGUGCAAAUUGUAAAAAACCAUAGCAUCAAAUCCAACUUCAUGACAAUAAACCCAACCACGUAAAUUGAAAUACAUUAUAAGAGAAAAGGUACAUAAGUAACUCAGAUAAUCAGAUAUAUAAACUCUCAGUCAUUUAUUCACGACAAAAUUCAAAUUCAACAUGGGAGAGAUUGUCCACAUUUAAGUAUCUUCAUAGAAUCAAGGUCAAUACCCUAACACAGUAUCCUCAACAAACUCGUUACCUUCACUGCAACGGCAUCAAAACCGUUGUGCACAGCAUCCUGAGCAAACUUUAACCAUUCUACCAGUGAAACUUGGCAAUUGAAAACUAGCAGAUUUGAUUUCUCGCAUAACUAAAGCCUCAUCUUCUCAAAUCCAAACAACUCUUCAAAAUUUAAAUUCGAAAACACAAAAGAAAAAUACAAAUUAGCAUAUUGUUAUACAAACAAUUGAUAUAUAAAUUAUAUAUAGAAAUUGAAACAUUACAAAUGUAAGCAUCUAUAGAAAGUAUAUACUACUCAGCAUGGACAAAAUCAACAAAAACUAUGAAAACAAGNNNNNNNNNNNNNNNNNNNNNNNNNNNNNNNNNNNNNNNNNNAUGAACUUAGUCUUUAAAAGAAAAACUUAGUAAAUGACACAAAUAAGACGAACGCAUAACUCGUUACCAAAUACAACACCAUAAUAAACAACUCAUAAAUGACACAUUUCCACAGAAUUUGGGCACCUUUUGCAACCAAAUCUUUAGAUCAAAUCAUGAAUGAGAAAUUGUCACAAAUAAGACGAACGCAUAAGUUACCUUGCUGAAAAACAGAAUAUGUGUCAACAUAUAAGUUUUUUCUUAAAUAAAUGACUAUAUGCAAAGAUGAUUCAUAAAUGUAUAUACACAUUAAUGAGAAGAUUUAGUAAUUAAAAAGUAGGAAACCAAAGUAAGCAAACACUAAAUGCCUGGAUAAAUGACAUAAACAAAUUAAGCAACCUACCCUGUUCAAGAAACAAUUAAAGCAUCAUGCUUUCAGAAAACAUCUAAUUCAUAGUUAAAGUAAAUAAAAAAAUAACCAAAAGCUCAUAAUUCAAGUAAAUUAACAUAUAAGCAUCAUGCAGGAAAGUAAGUUACAUAGUUAAAGUAAUUAAAAAGUAGGAAACCAAAGUAAGCAAACACUAAAUGCCUGGAUAAAUGACAUAAACAAAUUAAGCAACCUACCCUGUUCAAGAAACAAUUAAAGCAUCAUGCUUUCAGAAAACAUCUAAUUCAUAGUUAAAGUAAAUAAAAAAAUAACCAAAAGCUCAUAAUUCAAGUAAAUUAACAUAUAAGCAUCAUGCAGGAAAGUAAGUUACAUAGUUAUGGGACUAUAGCACACGAGAUUUUGUCCUUUUAAAAGCGCGCGCGCGUGCACACACACAUAUAAUAAUUCAACCAGUUAACAACAUAGGAACAACCAUAUCUACAACAACUUGUUACAAUAGUGUGGAAGAGUUACAAUUCAAAAAUACAUAAACAACUCUACCUUGUGAGGAACACUGGUAGGCAUCUACAAGAACUUUUCCACAAAAACCAUGUGCCCAAUGUGCAAUAUUCNNN
Molecule: long non-coding RNA, 3703 nt
Filed under: Trifolium pratense (red clover)
Lineage: Eukaryota; Viridiplantae; Streptophyta; Magnoliopsida; Fabales; Fabaceae
Description: long non-coding RNA (TPRA_LNC012957)
Source: RNAcentral